Molecule: long non-coding RNA, 1247 nt
Organism: Neopelma chrysocephalum (saffron-crested tyrant-manakin)
Lineage: Eukaryota; Metazoa; Chordata; Aves; Passeriformes; Pipridae
Exons: 4
Source: RefSeq, a predicted model, not a curated record
GAGGUUUGGGUUGGACAUCAGGAGGAAUUUCUUCACAGAAAGGGUUGUUGGGCAUCAAAACAGGGACCAGCCUCCCUUGUUAGGAAAAUGGCUUUUAUGUAGAAGCAGUUUGAGGUCACUGAUGACACCAGGUCAUUUGGGCUCUGCAUAGCAAAGCUUAAAUGUGGAAAUACUUCCAGUAUCCUUGCACGAUGAAACCCCAGAAGAUUAAUGAUAAAUGUAUUUCCUUGUGCUUCACAGUUUUACCACAGAGUAUGGAGUGGAGGAAAUGUGAAGACAGAGAUCUUUCUUUUUCUGCUCUUAAUGAGAAUCUGUUCACUUUGAUGAGCAUCAAAUCUCUCUCUGUUAAUUGCUGUUGAUAGAAGUGCAGAUUAAUCAAUAUUUCUAUACAUCAAGGCCUAUACCAGGCACAUCUGGAGAACCAAAAUAAGAGGAAAAGUCUCAGUACUGCCAGAGCCCAAGGCACAGAGUUUGCACAGUUGCAAGUGUUCCCUUAAUUACAGAGUUAUUAAAAUGUCAUCUUACAGUCAUUAUAUCCUUACCUUAUAUCUUAAAAACCAUUUUAAAAAAUGCAUUCCUGGAGCUGGAUAUUUGCAGGAAGGGUGAGGAUAAAACACACCAUUUCUUUCAGCCUUCCUUGGAGCCUGUUCAGGCCAUUGUGUGGAGCUUUUCGCCUGACUGGUUUCCUGUAGCAGAACAUUCCAUGCAGGAUUCAUUUCUCCAGGUGAUUUGCAUACCUCCUGCUUGGAAGGGCCACAUCAGACCAGGGACACAAUUGUCCUGCUUGCUGGGAAGUACUGAAAGUCUGGCCUGGAAGAAAUGAAUCUUCAUCUUCAUGAAGAUGAUGAUGUUGAAGUUAAAACUGCCAUCUGACCUCCUCACUGACUUUAAGGAAGGGGCUGGGGCGAGUCCAUGGACUGCCUGCUGAGUUUCUUUGUAUUUGGAAUUCCCUCCAAACGGCAGCGGCAUUCUGUGGAGCAGUAGGAGUUGAUUCAGGGAUGCACCUGCUGAAGGAAGUCAACAAACCCAUUCUGAGCCCUUCUGGAGAGAUGACACCGUUGAGCUGCACGGAGCCGAUUCUAUUGUGACAUCUAAAAGAAAGCAGAAAUCUCCUACUGGCCCCUGAGGGCCAAAAAAAUCUCUGGUUUCAUGAGGGAGGCAGAACUAGCCACAAAUGACAUUAUCUUCCACGUGGGAUCUGAUAAAUGGAAAUUAAAAUCUAGCAGGUGGCACUUGGCUUUGCUUUU